This is a non-coding RNA of Oncorhynchus mykiss (rainbow trout), 2841 nucleotides long. The record is from RefSeq and is a predicted model, not a curated record. Lineage: Eukaryota; Metazoa; Chordata; Actinopteri; Salmoniformes; Salmonidae.
CAAAAGGUCGCAGAGUUCAAGGGGGCCGAAUACUUUCGCAAGGCACUGUAUAUAUUUGUAUUUUUGGACCCCAUUUUCUCUCCAAUUUCGUCCUAUUGUUAGUUACAGUCUUGUUCCAUCGCUGCAACUCCCAUACAGACUCGGGAGAGGCGAAGUUUGAGAGCCAUGCGUCCUCCGAAACAUGACCCCGCCAAGCCGCGCUGUUUCUUGACUCACUGCUCGCUUAACCCGGAAGCUAGACGCACCAACGUGUCAGAGGAAAAACUGUACCGCAUGUCGACAUGAGUCAGCGUGCAUGUGCCCUGCCCACCACAAGGAGUUGCUAGAGCGCGAUGGGAGAAGGAUAUCCCGGACGGCCAAACCCUCCCCUAACCUGGACGACGCUGGGCCAAUUGUACGCUGCCUUAUGGGUCUCCCAAUCGCGGCCGGCUGCGACACAUCCUGGGAUCGAACCCGUGUCUGUAGUGGCGCCUUAGAGCGCUAUACCACUAGGGAGGCCGGUCAUAGCUGCUAUUUGAAAAAAGAAAUAGGAAUCCUAUAUCCCACCUCUUGCAGAAACACUGCCUGGCAUGGGAGCUGUGCGCAAUGAGUGAAGUGCUGAUCGAUUCAUUUUUGGAGGCACUGUACACAGGCAUAAAAGCUGGUCUAAUUUACUCGAUGGUCAACAAAGUGAGACAUUGUCCUGUGUUUUUUGGCUGUUUACAUUGUUUUGUUCACAAGUUUGGUUGUUUUUCAACUUGAGUCUGCUGCUUCAACUAAUAGCAAAGAGAUGUCCUUGUCGUAUCCCAAAUAUGACACGUGAAAGGACUCAAGUGGCCCAAAUACUAUGUUAACCUCCCACCCUUAAAGGGGCAGCUGAACAUUUUCUCUGAUAUUUUGAUUAUUACAAAAAAUGAAAAGAAAUUUAGCGUUAUACCACAUUACUUCUUACUAAUACAUUUAUUUUUUUAGAAACAGUACAAAGCAUGUAAUCCGUUUGUUUUUUGACUUAAUUAUGCAAAAAUAUUUUGUCUAGUACAAAAUCUGAGUGGCGGGGCCUCCCGAGUGGCGCAGCGGUCUAAGGCGUUACUACAACAAUCCCAUAAGUAUAGAAGGUAGUGUGAUGUUACAGCUAUCUUUAGACAUACAGUGUCAGGAUGGAUGGGCAGGAGAUCACCGGAGCUGAGUACCGGCACCUAACAUGUUCUACUGCUUGAGCUCCUGUUCCUUUUUUUUUUUAUAGAAUAUUAGCUCAAAAGUAUAGUGGAGCUCCUGUACCUAAAUAUAAACAGUACCGGCACCUAUUUCAGCUCAAGUCAAGCACUGCAGGUAUUGUGGCAAAGAUGUGUCCGUAGCAGAUUGCUAAAACGUUAGCCAGCUUAAUAUUAAUGCAGGUAGGCUACUCUGUUUUUGUCAGGCAAAACCAGAGAAAAUUAAACAAGCGCUUUCUGGUCACUGAUGUGGAUAUGUGCACCCGCCUUUGCGUGCUAAUGCUGAUGAUUGGUCAACAGUCAAGACGGGAAACGUUCUGUUUCUGAAGCACCGAUUAGAUGUUUUUAAAAUAAGAAUUUUGUGCAAUGCCCUAGACCUACGUUAGUAUCCACAUUUUAUAACCAAAUCUACAAAUCUAAAAUACAAAUGGUAGCCUAGUGUAUACUGUAUGUAGCCUAUUCAAAUAUGUAUCAAAAUAAUUAUAGGCCAACUCGCAACCACCCCAAAACCUUCACUGCUCUAGUUCUCAACCUGUGUUGAUUGACAGUUUGCUGGUCCAAUCAGAGGGUUGAGUGUGUGUUUCACUAGCCAGUCUGUUUUGUUUGCAAGUGCGAUACUGUCUCUGGGUGCCAGUAGAGUAAUCCACAGAGACUCCGUGCCACAAAAUGAUUGACAAAACGUUACAAAAUCUGGCCAGAUAAUUUCAAGUCAGUGGAGUCUUGAGGCGUCAAGUCUCAAGUUAUUUUAUUUUCUAUCAAGUCGAGUCUCAAAUCAUCAGAUUUGUGACUUCAGUCAGACUCCAGUCCAUGUCAUGUGACUAGAGUCCACAUCUGAUUAUUACAAGUCCAUUUACCACUAUGAAUAUUCUGAUGUGAAUCAAAAAUAUGCAUUCUCAGAGUUCUGUCACAUUACCAAGUGAUUCGUACAUUUGUAGAUAGACAUUCACAAGUCAAAUGGUUUGAGCAGACCUGGAGGACCUUUUUUACUCCUGGCCAAUCAGCUAAAACCACAGCCGCCUAUUGCUCCAACCAUUGGCUGGAUUGUUCCAUCAGUCAAAUCUCAGGAAUUAGCUUGAAGAGGAAAAGAGAAGUCAUUUCUACAAAGUAACAACGUUACUUAAUCCUCGGCCUGAAGUACUAGAAUAAAAUCUACUUGAAGGUUUCUCGUCUGAUUUCCAGGAGCCUGGUGGAGAUACAGUAGAUACAACCAUACUCCGAGUCCUGCAGGCCAUUUCCCUGCAUCCAGGUUGAGACCUACCAGCAGGAACAUGGAGCACUCCAUGUCAGUGCUACAGAGAGAAUAUUCCAAGGACCACCAAAGCCUUCUGGCCAACAACCUGCAAUCUCUCCAGAGUAGAGAAGUGAGUCUGCUGGGCCUUGGAACUCUAGAGCAGCACGUGUAAAAACCUGCCACCCUGUUGUCAGCCAUCAGCAGACAGUUAGUUCCCUGAGGAAGGAUGCAACUGUGAAGGCUUUUCAAUUGCCAAAUGUAGGGGGGAGGGGGUUGAUCCCCAAACGCAAUAAAGUUUUGUAGUUUUGUCUACUCAUGUUCUUUAAAAAAACAAAAACUGUUUAAUCCAUAUAAUUGUAUUUGUAAAAUGUUGCGAUAUGCCUGGCUGGGCCUCUCUUGCUUGCAGCGCACGCUGCCCAA